RNAcentral lists this long non-coding RNA (270 nucleotides) under Felis catus (domestic cat). Its description in RNAcentral is "lncRNA (ENSFCAG00000050058.1)". The record is from RNAcentral. Lineage: Eukaryota; Metazoa; Chordata; Mammalia; Carnivora; Felidae.
UCAUUAUAUUUGCCACAGAUGUGUAAAAUGGACUCAUGCCUUUUGUUUAAAUUCUUACUUUACUCUAGUCCUAAUCAAUGAUAUCUGUGAAAUCGGUAUACAUGAAUCACCUCAUUCAAGAAAUGGCUGCACAGAGUUUCAAAAUGCAAAAAUGAAAGCUUAUUGGAAUAACGAGGUAAAGAGGAAAGGUGGAGGAUGCAGGGAGGCAGCUCUGGGAGCUCAGCAGCCAGACAGGACCACAGGGAUAAGCAGCAUUUUGAUGUUUAUUUA